This 492-nucleotide ribosomal RNA is filed under the name uncultured bacterium. RNAcentral's name for it is "partial 16S ribosomal RNA". It matches the Rfam family "Bacterial small subunit ribosomal RNA", at positions 28 to 507 of the family's 1533-position model. The record is from RNAcentral.
GGUGAACGCUGGCGGUAGGCCUAACACAUGCAAGUCGAGCGGCAGCACAGUAAGAGCUUGCUCUUACGGGUGGCGAGUGGCGGACGGGUGAGGAAUACAUCGGAAUCUACUUUUUCGUGGGGGAUAACGUAGGGAAACUUACGCUAAUACCGCAUACGACCUACGGGUGAAAGCAGGGGAUCUUCGGACCUUGCGCGAUUGAAUGAGCCGAUGUCGGAUUAGCUAGUUGGCGGGGUAAAGGCCCACCAAGGCGACGAUCCGUAGCUGGUCUGAGAGGAUGAUCAGCCACACUGGAACUGAGACACGGUCCAGACUCCUACGGGAGGCAGCAGUGGGGAAUAUUGGACAAUGGGCGCAAGCCUGAUCCAGCCAUACCGCGUGGGUGAAGAAGGCCUUCGGGUUGUAAAGCCCUUUUGUUGGGGAAGAAAAGCAGCAGGUUAAUACCCCGCUGUUCUGACGGUACCCAAAGAAUAAGCACCGGCUAACUUCGUG